This is a long non-coding RNA of Ctenopharyngodon idella (grass carp), 478 nucleotides long. RefSeq lists it as uncharacterized. The transcript is spliced from 3 exons. Lineage: Eukaryota; Metazoa; Chordata; Actinopteri; Cypriniformes; Xenocyprididae. The record is from RefSeq and is a predicted model, not a curated record.
UCUCUCAAGUGUUACACGUGCGAGUCUGAUUCGAAGGGUUACUGUGACGCAAAAGUGGAGAUAUGUCCAGUUGGAUUUUCUAAAUGCGGAAAGACCAUAGUGGAACAAUCAGAUGGUUCUGCUAAGGUGUCCAUCACAACUAAAGGGUGUGUACCGGUAUGUGAUCCAGUGACCCUAAAGGCGACAGAAAAAGGCAUAAUGUCUCUCCACUGCUGUGACACUGAUCUCUGCAAUGCAGCAGAUGGAGUGUAUAAGGGAAGCUUCCUCCUGCUCUUCUCUCCUCUGCUCUUCUACUUCCUGUUUCAGUGAGUCCAGAUUCAAGACUUCAGAUUCUACAGCGAAGACCAGCGAAUAUGAGACACAUUCUGAUGCAUUACUGUACUUUACUGAAUAAAGCUUGUUUGUUGCUCUGCUGUUCUUUGUAUCAUGAUUUGAGGAACUCAGAAAUAUGCAUUUUAAUAAACAAAUAUGAAACAAA